Molecule: ribosomal RNA, 253 nt
Filed under: uncultured bacterium
Lineage: Bacteria
Description: partial 16S ribosomal RNA
Rfam family: Bacterial small subunit ribosomal RNA
Source: RNAcentral
UACGUAGGGUGCAAGCGUUGUCCGGAAUUAUUGGGCGUAAAGAGCUCGUAGGCGGUUUGUUGCGUCGGCUGUGAAAUCCCGAGGCUCAACCUCGGGUCUGCAGUCGAUACGAGCAAACUAGAGUGUUGCAGGGGAGACUGGAAUUCCUGGUGUAGCGGUGAAAUGCGCAGAUAUCAGGAGGAACACCGGUGGCGAAGGCGGGUCUCUGGGCAUCUCCUGACGCUGAGGCGCGAAAGCGUGGGGAGCAAACGGG